RNAcentral lists this long non-coding RNA (725 nucleotides) under Brassica napus (rape). Its description in RNAcentral is "long non-coding RNA (BNAP_LNC007949)". The record is from RNAcentral. Lineage: Eukaryota; Viridiplantae; Streptophyta; Magnoliopsida; Brassicales; Brassicaceae.
CUAUGUCCGUACGCGGCCCGACUACCACAAUCUCCUCCUGGUAGAACCCUAAUCAUCCUCUACGCUCGCCUUCGUGAUCUCCGCUCUCCUUCGAUCGGCGCAGCUGCGCUCCAUCUUCUGUAACGGUUCUUCGAUAAUUAAUGGACUUAAAUCGUCUUAAAUCACCACUGCGAAGCUUCCUCCUGCGCUGCUCCUCUGCUAUAAAAAGAUCUCACCGGUACGUAUCGCGUUACCUACACUUUAGUACUCUCACGACUCAUUGAUACUCGAAUCUGACCCACCGCUCAGUUUGCAUUGCGGUUGUGUCAGCGAUCUCUUCUCAAUGCACAGAUCAUAGUGGCGUUGUGUCUUGCAGCGGCGAUUGAUGAUGUGGAGGAUCCGGUUCGGUUAAGGCAUGUGUUUCUUUCUAGGCUGAAGAGAGGUGAUGAAUCAGAAGAUGAACAGACCUGACUUUGUAGGUAUCAUAAUUUUUCAAGAUCUGUAAUCGUAUUAUAUUUUUUCUGGAUUCGUAGUUCAUUGGCCCAACGUUAAUUGGAAAGGUGAGUGUUACCUUGAUUUAUGUUUAACGCUUCGAGUUUGUUCCUAAAGCUGUGUUUUUGUUUUUUUUUUUUUUUUUUUUGUGCGACUUCCUAAAGCUGUGUUUUUUCUCCCUCACAUUCAUGUGUUUUUUGUUGCUGUUGUUUCUUGCAGUAUCCAACUCAGCAUACUUUGAUUGGUUGGUUCCC